UACGUAGGUGGCAAGCGUUGUUCGGAAUUACUGGGCGUAAAGGGCGCGUAGGCGGCUUGUUAAGUCGGCUGUGAAAGCCCGGGGCUCAACCCCGGAGAGUCGGCCGAUACUGGCGAGCUAGAGUACGGAAGAGGUAGCUAGAAUUCCUGGUGUAGCGGUGAAAUGCGUAGAUAUCAGGAGGAAUACCGGAUGCGAAGGCGGGCUACUGGGCCGAUACUGACGCUGAUGCGCGAAAGCCAGGGGAGCAAACGGG
Molecule: ribosomal RNA, 253 nt
Filed under: uncultured bacterium
Lineage: Bacteria
Also listed under: 1 other name
Description: partial 16S ribosomal RNA
Rfam family: Bacterial small subunit ribosomal RNA
Source: RNAcentral